Molecule: RNase P RNA, 328 nt
Filed under: Erysipelotrichaceae bacterium
Lineage: Bacteria; Bacillati; Bacillota; Erysipelotrichia; Erysipelotrichales; Erysipelotrichaceae
Description: RNase P RNA component class B
Rfam family: Bacterial RNase P class B
About the family: Ribonuclease P (RNase P) is a ubiquitous endoribonuclease, found in archaea, bacteria and eukarya as well as chloroplasts and mitochondria.
Source: RNAcentral
GUAUUCAGACAAUCGCUGGUCUAUUCCAGAGGAAAGUCCAUGCUCACACAUCCUGAGACGGAUGUAGUGUUUAUGCUAAGCGAAACGACAAGCUUAGGCAGCUAUAUGCUGACGGCUGGUUAAUUCCUAAAGGCUCGUGCCCAUGGAAAGCGCCUGUAAAAGUGUCAAAGAGACGAGUCAUUCAGAAAUGGAUGAGUGGAACGUGAUAAACCCCAUAAGUGAGAAACCCAAAUUAUGGUAGGGGAACCUGCAAUAGCGAAAUAAAGCGAUGUGCGGGGCACGCAAGUGCAGAUAAAUGAUUGUCCAGUACAGAACAUGGCUUAUUGAA